Molecule: non-coding RNA, 31 nt
Filed under: Homo sapiens (human)
Lineage: Eukaryota; Metazoa; Chordata; Mammalia; Primates; Hominidae
Source: RNAcentral
GCUUACCUGCUUUAUUCAAUGGGUUCUUGCA